RNAcentral lists this ribosomal RNA (315 nucleotides) under Gammaproteobacteria bacterium. RNAcentral's name for it is "bacterial SSU rRNA". It matches the Rfam family "Bacterial small subunit ribosomal RNA", at positions 1 to 299 of the family's 1533-position model. Lineage: Bacteria; Pseudomonadati; Pseudomonadota; Gammaproteobacteria. The record is from RNAcentral.
AAACUGGAGAGUUUGAUCCUGGCUCAGAUUGAACGCUGGCGGUAGGCCUAACACAUGCAAGUCGAACGGCAGCAGACCGUGACAAUCCCUUCGGGGUGCGUUUGGUGCUGGCGAGUGGCGGACGGGUGAGUAACACGUAGGAAUCUGCCAAACAGUGGGGGACAACCCGGAGAAAUCCGGGCUAAUACCGCAUACGCCCUACGGGGGAAAGCGGGGGACCUUCGGGCCUCGCGCUGUUUGAGGAGCCUGCGUCGGAUUAGCUUGUUGGUGAGGUAAAGGCUCACCAAGGCAACGAUCCGUAGCUGGUCUGAGAGG